AGGUGAUGAUGGGUAUGAUGAUGAUGGUGAUGAUGAAGAUUUUUCUUUUCAGUUGCGUUUUGGGGAGACAUUGCGUUGGACGAGGAGGAUCUCCGGAUGUUUCAGAUCGACAGGACAAUAGACGUGACGCAACACACACACACUCACACACACUCCAGACAAGGACAAACGACUGAGGAACAUGUCAUCUCAAAGAAGAAAGGAUUGUUCCUCCUCCUCCUGGACAAAAUACGGAGGUUUGGCUUCGACUAUAGGCCUAUGAACUCCAGUCAAGAAUCAGCCUCCGGUCCCAGGACCCAGACUGGGAAAACAGCUGCUGGAAGGACUGGGAAGGCUGGGAAAACCGUAAAGAGUGGGAAUACUGUGAAGUCGGCUAGAUUUGGGAAAACAGAGAAUGCCUGGAGUGUUGUUGUGAAGAAUCGUGUUCCCAGAGCAGCAACCUCCCGAGCUGAGAGGAUCUGGCCAG
Long non-coding RNA from Oncorhynchus tshawytscha (Chinook salmon), 466 nucleotides. RefSeq lists it as uncharacterized. NCBI's taxonomy places the organism in Eukaryota, Metazoa, Chordata, Actinopteri, Salmoniformes, Salmonidae. The record is from RefSeq and is a predicted model, not a curated record. The transcript is spliced from 3 exons.